RNAcentral lists this ribosomal RNA (470 nucleotides) under uncultured bacterium. Its description in RNAcentral is "partial 16S ribosomal RNA". It matches the Rfam family "Bacterial small subunit ribosomal RNA", at positions 28 to 507 of the family's 1533-position model. The record is from RNAcentral.
GACGAACGCUGGCGGCGUGCUUAACACAUGCAAGUCGAACGGCGAACGAGGGAGCUUUCUCCCUCCGGAUCAGUGGCUAACGGGUGAGUAACACGUGAGCAAUCUGCCCCGAACUCUUGGAUAAUCGUUGGAAACGACGUCUAAUACCGGAUACGACGCGGGAGGGCAUCCUCUCCGCGUGGAUAGAACUUCGGGUCGGGAUGGGCUCGCGGCCUAUCAGCCUGUUUGUGAGGUAUCGGCUCACCAACGCGACGACUGCUAGCCGGCCUGAGAGGGUGGACAGCCACAAUGCUACUGAGACACGGCCCAGUCUCCAACGUUGGACAGCAGUGGGGAGUAUUGCACAGCGGGCCCAAGCCGGAGGCAGCAGCGCUGGGGGGGGGAAGACGGCCUGCGGGUUGUGAACCUCUGCUAGUAGGGACGAAGCGGAUGUGACGGUACCUGCAGAAAAAGCACCGGCUAACUACGUG